GGGUAGUGGCUCAGUGGUAGAGUGCUUGCCUAGCAUGUGGGAAGCAUUGGGUUCGAUUCUCAGCACACA
This 69-nucleotide transfer RNA is filed under the name Marmota monax (woodchuck). RNAcentral describes it as "tRNA.Ala". Lineage: Eukaryota; Metazoa; Chordata; Mammalia; Rodentia; Sciuridae. The record is from RNAcentral.